Colius striatus (speckled mousebird) is the source of this 969-nucleotide long non-coding RNA. RefSeq lists it as uncharacterized. The record is from RefSeq and is a predicted model, not a curated record. The transcript is spliced from 4 exons. Lineage: Eukaryota; Metazoa; Chordata; Aves; Coliiformes; Coliidae.
AGGGACAGCCCCCCAUCAUCCGGGGCGGGGUCUGAGGUGCCACAGGGAAGCAGAAACUCAUGGAGAGAGGGGGGAGGUUGAAAGUCCGAGUUGCUUCUGGGUUCCUAUGAAAGGAUGUGAGCCUUACACAGUCAAUGAAAUAGAAUAUAAAAACCUGACUGGUGAAAUGAAUCAGCUCUACCACACACCUUACAAAGAUGUGGAUGAGGUAAAACCAGUAAUGGUAGAAGAAGGACAGCAUUCAGGUGGCACUGGAAGCAUUCAUGUGGAUCCCAUAUAGAGCAAAGAAAUGUAGACUGUAUCGCACACAGCCAGUGACACUGCAUGUCCACUUCUGUGGAAGUACUGCAGGAACAGUGGGACGGGAAUUUGAAAUGCGAGUCGGGAGGUGGAGAGUGAUACAAGAUGGAGGCCACCACGCGGACCCUUCAGCCAGAGAGGGAGGAAGGAACGAGAAGCAGUAGACCGGAGACCCCUCUGCAAGCCGUGGCGAGAAUACAAGCUGUGCCCCUGAAACCUAUGGAGAUUCGUGGCAAGACUGAGAGCCACCAACAGCUCCGUGUGGGUGAGCCCGGACGGGCGGGGGACUGUGUGGGGAGAUGGCCAUGGCCCAGGCCGUGUUGGAGAGCCUGCGCGCCGCAGAGCAGCCCCACACGAGAGGCAGAGAGGAGCUGCAGCCUUUGGAAUAAGUGGGCAUCGGAGCAGCCCGUGCAAGUCUGCCAUGCUUGUGAGUUACCCCACGGACUUGCAGGGAGGACUGGUGUGGAGUUCACCCGUCCUGAGGAGGGACAAACGGCAGAAGCUCUCGGAAACCGACUGACUGAACCCCCCACUGCCUGCCCCCCCGAACCGUUCGGGGGGGGGGCAAGGUAAAAACACCGGGAUCAGGGCUCUGAACCCGGGAAGAGGGGAGGGGUGGCAAGAAGGUGUUCUUAAAAAGGCUGGUUGGACUCUCCAUUGAUGUAUUAC